This 540-nucleotide ribosomal RNA is filed under the name uncultured bacterium. RNAcentral's name for it is "bacterial SSU rRNA". It matches the Rfam family "Bacterial small subunit ribosomal RNA", at positions 777 to 1313 of the family's 1533-position model. The record is from RNAcentral.
AAUAGAUACCCUGGUAGUCCACGCUGUAAACGGUGGGUACUAGGUGUGGGGUCCAUUCCACGGGUUCCGUGCCGUAGCUAACGCUUUAGGUACCCCGCCUAGGGAGUACGGCCGCAAGGCUAAAACUCAAAGGAAUUGACGGGGCCCCGCACAAGCGGCGGAGCAUGCGGAUUAAUUCGAUGCAACGCGUAGAACCUUACCUGGGUUUGACAUGGAUCGGGAGCGCUCAGAGAUGGGUGUGCCUCUUUUGGGGUCGGUUCACAGGUGGUGCAUGGCUGUCGUCAGCUCGUGUCGUGAGAUGUUGGGUUAAGUCCCGCAACGAGCGCAACCCUUGUUCACUGUUGCCAGCACGUUAUGGUGGGGACUCAGUGGAGACCGCCGGGGUCAACUCGGAGGAAGGUGGGGAUGACGUCAAGUCAUCAUGCCCCUUAUGUCCAGGGCUUCACGCAUGCUACAAUGGCUGGUACAGAGAGUGGCGAGCCUGUGAGGGUGAGCGAAUCUCGGAAAGCCGGUCUCAGUUCGGAUUGGGGUCUGCUAACG